This 68-nucleotide transfer RNA is filed under the name Layahima valida. RNAcentral's name for it is "tRNA-Asn". The record is from RNAcentral. Lineage: Eukaryota; Metazoa; Arthropoda; Insecta; Neuroptera; Myrmeleontidae.
UUAAUUGAAGCCAAAUAGAGGCUUAUCACUGUUAAUGAUACAACUGAAUUAAUUAUAUUCCAAUUAAA